This is a long non-coding RNA of Esox lucius (northern pike), 539 nucleotides long. RefSeq lists it as uncharacterized. The record is from RefSeq and is a predicted model, not a curated record. Lineage: Eukaryota; Metazoa; Chordata; Actinopteri; Esociformes; Esocidae. The transcript is spliced from 5 exons.
GGAAGGCGGUGAAGUUCAGGUGAGCUCUGGUCAAAGCUCAGCAUGGGUCAGAACACAAAUGAUGUCGCUUCGAUGUAUUGAGGAUUAAUACAUAUUCUUGGAUACAAUCCUACAGAGAACAGAGGCAUACGGAGAAACCAUCACGUCAAAUGCAAAUGACCAGGUCCUUUCCAGGUGUUUUUACCAAGGGCAGAGGCGCUUUCCUUGUUCCUGUCAAGAGACUUAAACCACUUGAUGUGGCUUUCUAUUUGUUGCCAAAGCAGUGUGAAAAAAUAAAAUAAAAAGAGGAGCAUAUAGUCCAUAUGCAUGCAGGAUUGGGCUGUAGGACUGCUCAUCUAGAUGAAAGCACAACACAUGAAGAGUUAUGUGAAGCCCUCAAAGUUUUAUUUCCAAAAUUGGGGGCUGUGACCGGUGGGUGGCUGCUAUACAAAUCUGCAGGUGGAUGGGGUAGCCGAAAACUCUCUCGUGGCUCCUGAUGAGACUGGCUAUACAGUUAUAAAUCCACCAACUUUUGCAGCUCUUAGAAUUUGAGUCAACGA